Unclassified non-coding RNA from Erinaceus europaeus (western European hedgehog), 333 nucleotides. Its record names the gene 7SK. It matches the Rfam family "7SK RNA". From Rfam's summary of the family: 7SK was discovered as an abundant small nuclear RNA in the mid-70s but a possible function has only recently been suggested. Two independent studies have found that 7SK RNA binds the CDK9/cyclin T complex (known as elongation factor P-TEFb). The record is from Ensembl. NCBI's taxonomy places the organism in Eukaryota, Metazoa, Chordata, Mammalia, Eulipotyphla, Erinaceidae.
GGAUGUAAGGGUGAUCUGGCUGUGACAUCUGUCACCCCAUUGAUCACCAGGAUUGAUUCAGUUGAUCUGGCUGGCUAGGCAAUGUCCACUUCCUCCCUCACUGCUCCAUGUAUGUCCCUCCAGAAGCUGCAUGCUUGGUUGAUGAGGACGGCCUUUCCUGAAUGGAGAUGGAUCUGUCUUUGGUCAAGGGUAUCUGAGUAGCUGCACCUCUGCUAGAACCUAUAAACAAGCUCUCAAAAAAUGGGCCAAAGAGAAAUGAAAUGAAAGAGAAAUAAAGGAAGCAGUCUCAGUUAUAAUAGAAACCAAAAAUAUAAAAUACUUAGGGAUACAUUU